AACGCACAUUGCGCCCAUUAGUAUUCUAGUGGGCAUGCCUGUUCGAGCGUCAUUUCAACCCUUAAGCCUAGCUUAGUGUUGGGAAUCUACUGUACUGUAGUUCCUCAAAGACAGUGGCGGAGCGAUAGUUGUCCUCUGAGCGUAGUAAUACUUAUUCUCGCUUUUGUUAGGUGCUAUCUUCUCGCCAUAAAACCCCCAAUUUUUUAGUGGUUGACCUCGGAUCAGGUAGGAAUACCCGCUGAACUUAA
Molecule: unclassified non-coding RNA, 248 nt
Filed under: uncultured Xylariales
Lineage: Eukaryota; Fungi; Ascomycota; Sordariomycetes; Xylariales
Description: sequence contains 5.8S rRNA gene, ITS2, 28S rRNA gene
Source: RNAcentral